CAAACAUCUCAAGAACCAAAUACAAGAAUCAACCCUAAACUUGACAAGAACUAACAUGGCUAAACCAGUGCAUCACAGUAAAAAAAACAUACCGAAACCUUUCUUUCAAGUCUAUAACACAAGGGUUGUACAAUUCUUUAACCUCUCUAAUAAUCACAGCGAAACACAAUAGAAGUUGGAAGAAUUUCAGAGAGAGAGAGCCGCUUUCCAAAAUUGGCAGAAAGAAUGAGAACUCUUGCCUCUAAAAUCGGGUAGCACAAGAGUUAUAAAAAUCAUGUGAAAUCAAGAUUAAAUCCAGCCACACAUUAUGAUCCAAUGUCUCACAGUGGAGUUGAAGAAGCACGAUCCUCAUUUUAGUAAAAUAAACAAUUGGUGGUUGCCAUGUGGCCCUCCAAACCAAUUAAAAAAGACAAAGUAGCAUUUCUUUUAAAUAACUCCAAAGUUUCCAAUUUAGUGAAACACGCCUUUUACACUUUCAAUCUUCAUCUUGUUUCACUAAAUACACCGACACUUUUAGUUGCAUGGUUUACACAGUAAGAUUGAUAAUCAUCAUUACCCAGUACCUACAAAAGAAUUAUCCAUUAUCAAUAUACGGAAUUGAUAAACCAAAAUUUAAACAUACUAGUUGAACGCAUUUUAAGUCUCAUAUCUAAUGGACAUUCAUCAACUUGAAUUUUCUUAAGAUUUAACUUCACCUAAAGCUAUCUUAUCCUUUUAGAAGAUGAUACUUCACCUUAACAUAUGUUUACCUCUGAUAAUGAACAAAAUUUAUAAUAACCAACAAUGCAAUUCAACUAACAAUGAGAGUAAUAAAAGUAUCAUGCAGAAAAUUCAAAUCACGCUUUUCAAUUAAAUGCAUUCUUUCACAGAUUUCAAAUUCUUACAAUCAUUCCCCAAUGUAAAGAGAUAGGCAAUAAUGGAUUUCCUCAGAUCUUUGUCACCCACAAAGUCAACAUCCACAUAUCCUUUAAGGAUCAAUCUAUCAAGCAUUUUCAAUUUACAAACAAGGUCAUUCUUCACCUCAAAGCCUACGAGUUUACUCUUAUGGAUAUUUCCCUUCAAUUCUCAAUGUAGGAAAGCAGUUUUAACAUUUAGUUGUUCACAUUCCCAAAUGAAUUGAACAACUAAUGCUAAAAACAAUCUUAUUGUUUUAUAUUCAAUGACAAGGGAAAAUAUCUCAAUAUAGUCAAACCCCUCUUUCAAUUUGUAAAUCCACUUACAUUGUAUCGUUCUUUGACCAUUACGCAAAUUAACCAAACUUCCUUUAUCCCUGACCAAUUUGUAAUGUUGGAUAGAAUUCUCUUCAAUUAUGGGGGUGUUAGUUUCCUUUUCAUUUUCAUCAUGAGGUACAUCAACGUCAUCAAUUACAGGUUCAUUCUCAUCGGAAUGAGUAAAGUCAUAUUUUGCCAGCUUCACCUCAUUCUGAAAUUUAGCGUGAGAUUCAAUUUCCUCAAAAUCAUCAUGUUUUCUAAAUUUUAAACAAGGCAUUUCAGAUUCAUUAAACAUAACAUUCGUGUUGUUAAUGAUCUUAAUACCAGGUUCCCCUAAAAUCCACAACCUAUAACCUUUAACCCCCUUAGGAUGGCCUAGCAUAACACAUCUAAUAUCCUUAGGUACCAACUUGCCCUUAGUUUGGCGAGCAUAUGCCAUACACCUAAACACUCUAAUAUGUGCUAAAUUUGGUUGCUUUCCUGUCCAUAGUUCUUGAGGAGUCUUAAACUUGUCACAACUAGAUAGAGAUCUAUUCAUCAAAUAUGCUGCUGUGCAUAAUGCCUCAGCCCAAAACCCUUUAGCAAGUCCUAAACUGACUAACAUGCACCUAGCCUUAUUCAUCAAAGUCUUACUCAUUCUUUUCGCCACCCCAUCUUGUUGAAGUGUGUACUUAACUGUCCCUUGUCUCAUGAUUCCCUUUUGCUUACAAAAGUUAUCAAAUUUCGUAUUACAAAACUCUAGAUAAUUAUCCGAUCUUAGAGUUUUUAACUUCUUAUCCAAUUGAUUUUCCCAAUUUUAAGCCAAGUCCGAAAUUUAUGAAAAGUCUCAGAUUUAGCCUUUAAGAGGUAAAUCCAUACUUUUUUAGAGUACUCAUCUACUAAGGAUAAAAAGUACUUAUUUCCACCAAAGUUGGGAUGCUCUUCAGGCCCCCACAAAUCUGCAUGGACAUAAUCCAAAGGUCUUUUCGCUAAAUGUGAACCCACCUCAAAACUCACCAUGUGAGACUUUCCCAACAAACAAGUCUUACAAAAGUUUAAAGGUUCAAUAAGACCUUUACCAAGUAACUUUUGGUCACUCAAAUGUUUCAAACAUUUAUUUCCUAUAUGCUCCAUUCUUUUGUGCCACAAUUCAGAUUUGUCAUCAGUAACACUAAGAAGAUUAGCUUCUUGUGAAGUAAUUGCCUCACGCAUUAGGUAGUACAACCCAUUUUUCUUAGGUCCUUUCAUUAUAGCUAGGGAACCUCUCAUGAAUUUUAGUGUAUUAUUUUGAGAUUUAAAGUCAUGUCCUUCAUCCUCAAGGAUUCCCAAAGAUAUGAGAUUCCUUUUAAGAUUAGGGACAUACCUAACAUUUCUUAAUUGCCUGACAAUACCAUCAUACAUCUUGAUGGCUAUGUUCCCAAUACCACUAACAGUAUAAGAAUUAUUAUCACCCAUAUAAACCUUGCUAGGUUCAACUUCCCUAUAGUUAUAGAACCAUGACCUGACGGGACUCAUAUGGAAUAUACACCCUGAAUUUAAAAUCCAAUCUUGACUAACGUCUUCACAAGACACGGUCAUAACAUACAAGCUGUCCAAUUCAUGUCCAAUAGCAACAUUGUUCGAUUCCAUAUCGUUUUGAUCAUUUUUCUUCAUUUUCCACUCAAAGCAAUCUCUCUUAAAGUGCCCUAGUUCCCCACAACCAUGACACUUCUUGUUACUUUGAUCUUUGGAUUUAGGCCAUCCCUUUGAUUUUACUUUUACUUUCCUUACCUGAAAGUUAUCUUCUCUCUUUUCACUUCUCCCUCUUACAAACAUAAUUUCUUCCCUAGCAUCUCUUGAUUCCUUUUUAACCUCUAAAUCUCUUUAUCUUAAGGCAUCUAUUACAAUUGCUUGUGAUAAUUUGUCCCUUGAGUAUUUUAUUGCAUUUCUCACAUCCUUGUAAGAAUCAGGCAAAGAAUUCAAUAAGAUGACAACAAAAUCCUCAUCAUCAAAUUUCUUAUCAUUAUGUGCAAGACUCUUCACAAUAAUACUAAAAUCACUUAGAUUCACUUCUAAGUCCUUUCUCAGGACCAUCCUAAAACUAAACAAUUUCUCCAAAAGAUAAAUUUUAUUUGGCAAUGUUUUAGUUAGGAAUAAAGCAUCAAGUGCAGUCCAUAAAUCCCUAGCAUUCUUAGCUUCAUCAACUUGUCUAACAAUAUCAUCGGACAAAUGCAAAAUUAUAAAUCUGUAUGCAAUCUCAUUCAUUUCCUCAACUUCAGCAAGUUUAGAUUUUAAUUCAACAGAAAAAGUUUCAGGAUCAUCAAGGGCUUUAGUAACCCUUUGUUGGACUAAAAUAGCCCUCAUUUACUACUUUCAUAUCGAGUAAUCUCCCUUUCCAUCGAAUUGAGAGAGUUCUAACCUUGAACCUAUAACAGAUUCAGUGGAAGGAUGGUGUGAACUCGAGGCGUAAUCUCAGAUUCCCAAAAAUAAACAGGAAAAGUUUUUGAAAAACACUCAGGUUUUACAUAUCAGUCAAG
This 3706-nucleotide long non-coding RNA is filed under the name Olea europaea subsp. europaea. The record is from RNAcentral. Lineage: Eukaryota; Viridiplantae; Streptophyta; Magnoliopsida; Lamiales; Oleaceae.